GCCAUGGUGGUGCCACUGCAGGGUACUCCACCAAGGUGAUGCCACCACAGAGCAUCCUGCCAUGGUGGUGCCACCACAGAGCAUCCUGCCAUGGUGCUGCCAACACAGAGCAUCCUGCCAUGGUGGUGCCACCGCAGAGCAUCCUGCCAUGGUGCUGCCAACACAGAGCAUCCUGCCAUGGUGGUGCCACCGCAGAGCAUCCUGCCAUGGUGCUGCCAACACAGAGCAUCCUGCCAUGGCGGUGCCACCGCAGAGCAUCCUGCCACGGUGAUGCCACCACAGAGCAUCCUGCCAUGGUGGUGCCACCAAAGGGUACCCUGCUAUGGCAACGCCACUGCAGGGUACCCCACCAAGGUGAUGCCACCACAGAGCAUCCUGCCAUGGUGAUGCCACCACAGAGCAUCCUGCCAUGGUGAUGCCACUGCAGGGGUACCCACCAAGGUGAUGCCACCACAAAGCAUCCUGCCAUGGCGAUGCCACCACAGCUCCAAGCCCGCCAUCAGCCCUAUAGAGCUCUUUCCCCUCACAACAUCCCCAAUCCUGAGAGCAGCCCCAG
Molecule: long non-coding RNA, 556 nt
Organism: Pezoporus occidentalis (night parrot)
Lineage: Eukaryota; Metazoa; Chordata; Aves; Psittaciformes; Psittacidae
Exons: 3
Source: RefSeq, a predicted model, not a curated record